AGAUAGGCUUAGGGAGCUACCAUUUGAUUUUUAUGGGGGGGGGGGGUAGGAUGAAAUUUGAAAAAAAUAGGCAGGACAGGAGUUUUGAGUAAAAAAAAAGGCAGGAUGAGACACUUUGCAAAAAAAAAGGCAGGAUGACAAUUUAGGUAAAAAAAAGUCAGGAUAAACUAAUAAAAAAAAAGGCAGGACCGAAUAGAGUGAAAAAUAAAAAGGCAGGACAGAGAUUACAACUAAAAAAAAUGCAGGACAAAAUUUUUCAUCCUAGCCCCCCCCCCCCCCCAUAAAAAUCAAAUGGUAGCUCCCUUAAACCAAAAGUGAAU
Molecule: long non-coding RNA, 320 nt
Filed under: Mytilus galloprovincialis (Mediterranean mussel)
Lineage: Eukaryota; Metazoa; Mollusca; Bivalvia; Mytilida; Mytilidae
Source: RNAcentral